Molecule: transfer RNA, 71 nt
Filed under: Marmota monax (woodchuck)
Lineage: Eukaryota; Metazoa; Chordata; Mammalia; Rodentia; Sciuridae
Description: tRNA.Ala
Rfam family: tRNA
About the family: Transfer RNA (tRNA) molecules are approximately 80 nucleotides in length.
Source: RNAcentral
GGGGUUGUGGCUCAGUGUUAGAGCGCUUGCCUAGCAAGCAUGAGGCACUGGGUUUGAUCCUCAGCACCACA